This 305-nucleotide ribosomal RNA is filed under the name uncultured bacterium. Its description in RNAcentral is "bacterial SSU rRNA". It matches the Rfam family "Bacterial small subunit ribosomal RNA", at positions 338 to 643 of the family's 1533-position model. The record is from RNAcentral.
CCUACGGGAGGCAGCAGUGAGGAAUAUUGGUCAAUGGGCGGGAGCCUGAACCAGCCAAGCCGCGUGAAGGAAGAAGGCGCCAAGCGUCGUAAACUUCUUUUGUCGGGGAACAAAGGGCGCCACGUGUGGCGUUGUGAGUACCCGGAGAAAAAGCAUCGGCUAACUCCGUGCCAGCAGCCGCGGUAAUACGGAGGAUGCGAGCGUUAUCCGGAUUUAUUGGGUUUAAAGGGUGCGCAGGCGGACCAUCAAGUCAGCGGUAAAAUCGUGGGGCCCAACCCCAUCCCGCCGUUGAAACUGGCGGGCUU